AGUUCUGUGGUCUAAUGGGUUCGUCAUCUCCAGCGCAUCAGCACCGCACAACAUCAAACUAACCGUCUUUCAGUUAUGAUAUCUCGUUCACAACAGGUUGAACAUGUUCCGAGAUGGUUCUGGGUUCGAUCCCCAGCAGAACUA
Molecule: non-coding RNA, 144 nt
Organism: Cadophora malorum
Lineage: Eukaryota; Fungi; Ascomycota; Leotiomycetes; Helotiales; Ploettnerulaceae
Source: the annotation of a GenBank genome assembly